UCUAGUACUUGCUGUAGAAUCCUUUUCUCCUCUGAGGAUUUUAGAAAUGCUAUUUUUACUUCCUUUGGAGCAAGUGCAUUUUCUGGUGACUGUGGCAUGUUUGCUCAACACCCAGUCACUACUGACUCCUGGGCUUGCUGUAUUUCUAGUCUGCAGAGAGGUCUCUCCUUGGUCGCUUGGGAGCUCAGUCACUUAGAUCAGUUGCCAUGGAGUGCUCGCUGCCUUCCCCCUUUAGAACUCACACAAGUUCUCGUCACAGCCUGCGUGCACCAGAAAACAUACUUUUGACUAAAGCUUUUGCCUGAACCACUGGUGUCUGCUGGACCUGCUGGAAAGGCCCCUCUGUGACUUUAUUGAGCAGAGCCACAAGCUGGAGACUUCCUAGGCUCUGGACAUGGAGACGUCAGAUAUCUCAGCUAGAUCUGGACCUGCUGCAGAUUACGUUAUCACAGGGCCUUAUCCCUGAGACCCCACCAUCCCACUGUCCCCCCAAAUACUCAGAGCACUUCCUAUUCUGAAGCCUUCCUUAGGUCAGCCUGGGGUAUCAAUCCUAACUGAUCUGGAAUUGUCCUGUUUUGUCUGCUUCAAUGCUUUCUUUCCCCAGGGACCAAGUUCUCAUUUUCACUGUCCUUUGAAGUAGUUCCACCUCUAGUGACGUUUGGACUAGUCACCAAUGAACACCCACGCGGGAUAACCCUCUGCCAGGCUCCUUACAGUGAUACAGCUCAGACUUCUAGAAUCUAACCAGGAACCGUCUGCGGCCCUGUUCCCACAUCCUCUCACACCUUAGACUCUACACAUUCAUCCUCCACCUUGCUCUAGCCAUCUCCCCUCAGCCCUUGCUGUUCUGUGACUGGCCCCCAGGUUUGCCUUUUGUAUCUUUAAAACCCAGCUCUCCCUGUCUUCUCUCUGCCUACCUUUCUCUCUGAAUUCCCCAUUCUCCCGCCCAACUUUGCUUCAUUUAAAAGUUGCUUCUGUUUCAAUUAAUGAAUCCUAACAAGGGGAAGACAAUUAGCAACUGUAUUGCAGCGCCCAAAGUUCCCAACGUGUGCCUUUGUCUCCUGGCCUUUUCUGUUGCCACAUACAUUCUCUUGUAGUUUUUGUCAGACUUCAUAAUUUAGUAUUCCAAGUUGGCCUCCACGAAACAAACGAAGCUUAAACCUCAGAGCUCCCAACCUACAUGUGGCUCCUCCCUCCACCAGUGAUUUUUAGCCUCUCUGAGGCCACACAAGUUGUACAAUCUUCAGGCCCCUCGGAACCUGGAUCUGCCCUGUUCUCAUGAUUCACGAGUUUCCCACGGUCCUGAAAGUGCUUUGUGCUCAGGAUCUGGUAGAUGGAGGGUUGGUCAUAGGGGACAAAUCAGUUCACUCCCUCAGUGUGGGACCUUAGGUGAGCCAAUAUUUUGCUAUUACAAAUCACAGAGCUAGCAGCCUGUUUGCGCAUUAAUCUUGGUCCACAUUUCUUGUUAUGUCCUUGAAAUGGAUUUACAGGAGGAGAGGGGCUACAUGAAAGGCAGAGACAUAGUCAGUGGCAGUCCCUUCCCCAGUCUGACAAUGCCACAGGCAGUCAUGUUCAUCCCCAUUACCCUGUGCUUUAAAAGUAAGCAUUUGAAAAUCCCCACCCUUUAGAUGGGUGACACAUGGCAUCUCCCCUCUUUGCACUUGCUUGCAAGGUUGAGCCUUUGAACCUUGGCUAUCCUUAUAAAUUCCCUGGUUAAUGUCCUUGAGUGUUGUCCCAUUCAAGAUCUAUAGUUAUCAUUUGAUGUUAUUUAAUAAUUUCAAUGAAACAUUUAAAUAUUAAAAUAUCAUGAGACCUGUGUGCCAGAUUGCCUUGGAAUAUACUUUUCCAAGUUCAAUGCAUACUCUUUAAAGAUUUGUUUUCAUGAUUUUUAAUUAAGUAUUUGCAUGCAUGCCGUGUAUAGAUAUGUACACAUGAGUCCAGGUGCCCUCAGAGGCAAGGGACCAUGAAUCACCUGGAGCUGGAGUUACAGCUCCCAGGUCACAAGGCUCUCAGCUGGCACUGGAAACUUAACUCAGAGGAAACUGAACUUGGGUCUCCCGCAAGAAUAGCAAGCGCUCAGCUGCGGCACUGUCUCCACACACAUGACAUAGACCUUUAAACAUUUACUGUUGGAGUGUUUGAUGUCACACUUUUGAAAGCAUUUGUGGUUAUUUUCCUGCUGCUACUGCUUUGUUGUUUUGGUUUCCUUUUUCACCUAGAGUGCUGCCCCACAUCCAGAUGCCAGAUUGCACCGUUAUUGUCUUGUUCUUACAGUUAAGGUGUUAUUUUGUGUAGGGUUUGUUUUUUAAUAGGAUGCCAGAGGUGUAGGUAGGGUCUAUAUUUUUUCUACUUGGCUCACCAGUUGUCUUGGUGCUAUUUAUUAAAUGGCCCACUGCUCCCUCCUGGGUUUGGAAAGAGUCCUUUAUCACACCUUAAGUGCCUGCACAGCUGAGACAUGGCUGUGGAAUGACCCGUUCUGUCCCACUGACGGAGCCAUCUGUUCCUGGACACUGUUUUCAUUACUGCAGAUUUAUUAUGGACAUUAAUAUGUGGGAGGGCAGGAGCUUACUCAUUACUCUUAUCUUGACAAAUUUAUUAUUUUCUAAAAUUUCUCAUUUUCCUAAAACAUCUUAUUAUGAAAUAUAAUUCAUGUAUUAAAAAUGCACGGAACCAUAAAUGUAGAACUUAACAAAUUAUCAAAAAGCAAACACCUAUGUAAAUACCACCCAAGUCAGAAGCACAGAAGUCUCGGAGGGUCCUCACAGGCCUACUCCCAGCUGCCCAUAGAGGGGAUUGCCCUGGUGAUAUAGUAAGGGCUCAGAAAAGCUGAACUUAUCCUAGUCUGAAUUCAGAAACUCCCUCUAUAACUUGCACACUUUGACCUUAAUAUAAAUGAAUUUCUAUAUAAAUGGAAUGUGUAUAAAAGGACUUAAGUGUUCUUUUAUAAACUAGUUUUUAAAAAGAAUAGAUUAUUUAUUUUAUGUAUAUGAGUACCCUGUUGCUUUCUUCAGACACACCAGAAGAAGGCAUCAGAGCCAUCAUGUGGUUGCUAGGAAUUGAACUCAGGACCUCUGAAAGAGCAGCAGUUAAUGCUCUUAACUGCUAAGCCAUCUCCCUAGCCUCUUUAUACCAGUUUUUAAAUAUCUGUAUUGUUUUCAAUUCUGCGUCUCCACGUGUAUCUGUGUGAGACUACAUGCACAAGAGUGCAGGUUUGCCCAGAGACCACAAAAGCGUGUUGGAUUCCCUGGAGCUGAAUGAGCAGGCAGACAGCUGUGCUUGAAUUGGGUGCUGAGAACCAAACCCGAGUCCCUUGUGAAUGCAGCAAGUGCUAUAAUUUGUUGAGCGAUCUCUCCAGCUCCUUAAAUUCUCUCUUGCAUCUGGUCUUUUUUGGUCAGUGUUUUGUUUCCAAUGCCCAGCCAUACCACUGAGUAUAAUUUUUGGUUCAUUUACUAAAGCAACCAAACAAAACCAAAAAACAUUCCAAGAUAUUCAGCUCCCCGGAUAUAAGUGUUUAUUCUCUCCUGCUGAACCCUUGGGCUGCUGUUGCUUGGGUCUUCUGUGAAAAGUGCUACAGUGAAUUCCUACACAUGUCUGACAGCACGCAUGCACACCUAUGCUACAUUACAUACACCGGAGAUUGCACACCAUGAUAUUUCAUGUUGAUGCAUCGUUCAAAGUAGCCCUGAACAUGUCUGACAAUUAAUACUGCCACCAUCAGGGUAUACAGAUUUCUAUCCUACAGUGGUUUACCACUCCACUGUUUUGGUAAUCAUUAUCAUUUCAGCCUUUCAGGUACUCAUGCUAUAGCAUCUCUUAAUAGUUUUAAUCAUGCAUUCCCCAUGGACACUAAAGUUUAAUGCCUAAGUAUGCUUAUUAGAAAUGUGGAUUCCCCUGCCUUAAGUCUCUGCCCAUGUCUUUUGUGCACUUUUAUUCAGGUUCCCUGUCUUCUUAAUGUGGUUUGAUGCAGACUGAGCCUUCUCUUGGUAUAUGAAUUGUAGUCCUCGCCUCUGGUUUCUUUGUCUGGCCACUUGGAUUCUUAGCACCUGCUGACUGUUUCCAGGUGUGAAUUUAGUAGACAGACAGCAUCCACUCAGAACCUCCCACACAGCCAGAUAGUGAAGCCUUGAGGCUUCACUAGCUCCAGUUCAUGAACAUUGCUCAUGCCUUUCUUACUGCCUCAUGUGUCUAAUUCCUCUAACGAGAUUUACUCCAUAGUUUUCUGUGUUAAACCUUCCUUGUUUUAUGUGCAGUGUAUGUACCUAUAUGCUUUAAAUAUAUAUACUGUAAAUGAUACCUCCCAUAUUUUAUUUCACUUCAUGAGGCUAUAUAAACAGGAUACAAUCUAUCUACUAACGUCAUAUCUAGAAAAGCUUGUGAAUCACUUACAAGUGUAUUAAUUAGUCUGGAAAGCAUUUGGUCUCAUUACUACACGCAAUUCUUUAUUUUAGCUUUUUAUCAUUUCAAAAUGGAAACUUUGCUUAUUCCUUGUCAAUCAAUCUCUCAGCUUCCCCUUGACUGUCUUGCAAACUGCACCAUGGAGACCUUCCUGAAAAUCCCAAAGAGAGAUGGGCACUGUGGACGCGCCGCUCUGUCUUUACAUUCAGUCCCUGCGGGGGAGUGCUAUGCUACAUUUUUUCCCAAGCUAAAUAAAGUUGCAUGGGGAUUUUACUUGAAGUUGCACUUUGGCACCAGGGUCCUAUCAAUCUUCAUCUCCAGGAUGCAGGAUUUCUACUUAUUUAUGUCUUUGGGGGAAUAUUAGAACAUUUCGUUUUUAUGGGACCCAUACAUUGCCUUUAGCUGCGAUCCCAGAUGCUCAUUUUGACUUUGCUUUUUAAAGUGGUAGGGACAUCAAUUCCUAAAUAUCUAGCCAGUCAUGAGACAUCCAGUAGCUGAUUCACUUGCCCCUCUGUUUGUGUUACCACUUAUAGCUGAUUCUUUGGAGGUGCCAAGCCAAUACAUAACUUUAAGCAAUUGUUGCUUACUUGUAUUCUUUUUUAAAUAUUUCAUUUGUUAAUUUUG
Molecule: long non-coding RNA, 5019 nt
Organism: Apodemus sylvaticus (European woodmouse)
Lineage: Eukaryota; Metazoa; Chordata; Mammalia; Rodentia; Muridae
Exons: 4
Source: RefSeq, a predicted model, not a curated record